Non-coding RNA from Danionella cerebrum, 81 nucleotides. Lineage: Eukaryota; Metazoa; Chordata; Actinopteri; Cypriniformes; Danionidae. The record is from the annotation of a GenBank genome assembly.
GGCUGUCGUGGCCUAGUGGAUCAGGUGAUGGACUGGAAAUCCAAAGAUCGCUGGUUCAAUCCCCAGUUUCACUGGGAGUCG